Molecule: long non-coding RNA, 1342 nt
Organism: Lagopus muta (rock ptarmigan)
Lineage: Eukaryota; Metazoa; Chordata; Aves; Galliformes; Phasianidae
Exons: 3
Source: RefSeq, a predicted model, not a curated record
GACAGCAGCUUCAGCCUCACCCUCGUUUGGAGAAGUGUGUUGGCUGGGGGAAAGCCGCAUGACCCGAGCAGCCAGCACAGAAUGUCCUGGGGCUGCUUCACCCCGCGCAGCUGGGCUGCGGCUGGGUUACAUCUGCUCUGUACGUCCAGGGAGAGUGUGACUUCCACUGGUUUCCCAGCACAAGGUCUAUUAGAUGAGACUUCACAACACAACUAGCUGGACAAUAUUUAUUUUACAGCCUCAUCAGAGAAGAAGAUUUCUUUAGAGUCUGCUCAACUGGCUAGGAAUAUUGGGAAAAAAAGGAGCUCUAUGCAAGUUACAGUUUUGUAUCAGACAUCAUGGGAGAACGUCUGUUCAGUCCUCUGUUGAAACUGCCUUUAUGCCAGGCAUGAGAGGAGCAUUGUUUCAAAGUUGUGUGGAUGUGGAAACAAACAAAAUGGAACCCUGCAGAUUUCCAGUGUGCAUGAGUGUGAGAGACAAAGGCUUUUAGCAAGGAAACCACGACUCUCUUCAUCUCAGCGUUGGUCUUAGAAAUACUGUAAGGAAACGUAACUUCAACUAACAAAUUGGCUUGACAUGUCCCAUUAAGAACAAAAUCGCAACAUGGGGAACUGUGGGUAAUUCUCUGCCUUCUGUUUUCUUGGUUGUACUGUAAACUAUUCUCAAAAUACGAAGGAGUGCCAAAAAUGACAUGCCAUUAGUGCAUCCAGGAGGAUCUCAUUUACAUCCCAUUACCCGCCACGCCAAGAGCUGCUAUCGCUGCACAUUCCGAGCGGGACCAGGGCUGCCUGGCAGAGGAGAGGCUGGGGAGGCAGUGCUGUGCCUGCCGACUGCUGAUGCCAUGGGACCUCUUUUAUGAAAAAAGCAAUUCUCUGAUAAUCACCACUGAAGCUGCAUCAUCAUUACUGUGAGAUCUGCUGCUCUGGACCGCUCCUGUGGGGAUACUGCAGUGCAUUUUUAUGAGGGAGUGCCGGACCUCCCUUGGCCAGAAUGAUCAGGAAGGCUUUUCAUGGGAGUCCAAGGAAAAUCCAGGUGGGGAGGAGAUGUGGGCUCUGCUCCCACCUCCUGCAAAAAAACAGGCUUAGCCAACACUGACGGCACCUUCCCAGGGCUAUCUGAGGGCUGAGAUAGCCUUCUCCAUCCUCCCAAAAGUGAGAGUAAUUUUAUGUGCCUAGCCUGCUGCCGGGGCUCCAUUUUCCUGAGCAUUUUACCCUGGGGAUGGAGUUUAGAUGAGGGAGCCCAGUCCUGCCCAAAGGGGCAUCCUUGGGAAUGGGUGGCCUUAAAAGCCCUGGGAGGCAGCCCAGGGGUGGGAGGGGUGGCUUGUUUGGGUCAGCAUUGCAUG